GACCAUGACAGGGCAGAUCCGUGCCCUCCCAGGUGAGGGAUCAUCAGAGCUGAUCCCGAAUUCCCUGUUUCCCUGCAGGAGGGACACGGACACACCAUCCUGACGCUGCUGUCCCUCGGCGCCGAUCUCCAGGCUCAGGACGGGAAGAGCCGUUCCGCCCUGCACGCGGCCGUGGCCGGGCAGCAGGCGGAGGCCACGCGGAUCCUGCUCCGUGCCGGGCUCCGGGACACUCCGGAUGGCUCGGGAACGCUGGCCCAGCAGCUCGCCAGGAAGCCAGAGGUCAUCCAGGUGUUCCAGGAAUCCCAGGUCACCACGUGAGGCACGAGGAACGGGAGGAGCCCGGUGGAUUUCCGGCCGGCGCGGGCUGAACUUCCUCCUGGUGCAGCUCCUGGAGCAUCCAAACAGCUGAGGCUG
This 414-nucleotide long non-coding RNA is filed under the name Manacus vitellinus (golden-collared manakin). RNAcentral's name for it is "lncRNA (ENSMVIG00005005093.1)". The record is from RNAcentral. Lineage: Eukaryota; Metazoa; Chordata; Aves; Passeriformes; Pipridae.